This is a small nucleolar RNA of Sorex fumeus (smoky shrew), 99 nucleotides long. The record is from RefSeq and is a predicted model, not a curated record. Lineage: Eukaryota; Metazoa; Chordata; Mammalia; Eulipotyphla; Soricidae.
GAGCUGCCUUUCAGCCCCAGAUUGCCUGCACACGGCCCUGGGGGAAGCUACAGCGCCAGAGCACCAGUUCCCUCAUAACCCCCUGCGAGAGCGACACUC